Molecule: non-coding RNA, 125 nt
Organism: Triticum aestivum (bread wheat)
Lineage: Eukaryota; Viridiplantae; Streptophyta; Magnoliopsida; Poales; Poaceae
Source: Rfam
UUUGUACUCCCUCCGUCCGGAAAUACUUCUUGGAGAAAUGGAUGUAUCUAGACAUAUUUUAGUUCUAGAUACAUUCAUUUUUAUCUAUUUCCCCGACAAGUAUUUCUGGACGGAGGGAGUACAAA